UCCUACGGGAGGCAGCAGUGGGGAAUAUUGGACAAUGGGCGCAAGCCUGAUCCAGCCAUGCCGCGUGAGUGAUGAAGGCCCUAGGGUUGUAAAGCUCUUCAACGGUGAAGAUAAUGACGUAACCG
Molecule: ribosomal RNA, 125 nt
Filed under: uncultured Alphaproteobacteria bacterium
Lineage: Bacteria; Pseudomonadati; Pseudomonadota; Alphaproteobacteria
Description: partial 16S ribosomal RNA
Rfam family: Bacterial small subunit ribosomal RNA
Source: RNAcentral